RNAcentral lists this ribosomal RNA (250 nucleotides) under uncultured bacterium. Its description in RNAcentral is "partial 16S ribosomal RNA". It matches the Rfam family "Bacterial small subunit ribosomal RNA", at positions 524 to 773 of the family's 1533-position model. The record is from RNAcentral.
UACGUAGGUGGCAAGCGUUGUCCGGAUUUACUGGGCGUAAAGGGCUUGUAGGCGGUUCGUUAAGUCCGGUGUGAAAUCUCCCGGCUCAACCGGGAUAGGUCACUGGAUACUGGCGGACUAGAGGGGGGUAGAGGAGAGCAGAAUUCCUGGUGUAGCGGUGAAAUGCGUAGAUAUCAGGAGGAAUACCAGUGGCGAAGGCGGCUCUCUGGGCCUACCCUGACGCUGAGGAGCGAAAGCGUGGGGAGCAAAC